GGAGAGGUGACAGAGUGGCCGAAUGUGCAGCACUGGAAAUGCUGUGUGCCGGAAACGGUACCGAGGGUUCGAAUCCCUCCCUCUCCGCCA
Molecule: transfer RNA, 90 nt
Filed under: Opitutia bacterium
Lineage: Bacteria; Pseudomonadati; Verrucomicrobiota; Opitutia
Description: tRNA-Ser
Rfam family: tRNA
About the family: Transfer RNA (tRNA) molecules are approximately 80 nucleotides in length. Their secondary structure includes four short double-helical elements and three loops (D, anti-codon, and T loops). Further hydrogen bonds mediate the characteristic L-shaped molecular structure. tRNAs have two regions of fundamental functional importance: the anti-codon, which is responsible for specific mRNA codon recognition, and the 3' end, to which the tRNAs corresponding amino acid is attached (by aminoacyl-tRNA synthetases). tRNAs cope with the degeneracy of the genetic code in two manners: having more than one tRNA (with a specific anti-codon) for a particular amino acid; and 'wobble' base-pairing, i.e. permitting non-standard base-pairing at the 3rd anti-codon position.
Source: RNAcentral